Molecule: long non-coding RNA, 332 nt
Filed under: Elaeis guineensis (African oil palm)
Lineage: Eukaryota; Viridiplantae; Streptophyta; Magnoliopsida; Arecales; Arecaceae
Description: long non-coding RNA (EGUI_LNC046401)
Source: RNAcentral
GUUGCCUUGAUCUAAUUUGAUUUGGUUUAAACCAUCUAUUUAUUAGUUGGUUUAUCUGAUUUUUAUGAAAGUAUUUCAUAUGGUUAAACCAUCUCCAUGCUAAAACCAUAUGCCAAAAUGUUUGGCACGCCCAAAAUAAAUGGCGAUGAGAAGGAACAGUCCUUCUCAUCUACUCCUCUUAGUUUUAUUACCAAGUUCCGCUGGUUCCUUAUUUUUGUGUGCCAUCUGAUGGUGCCUUGGGAUUUAUGGGCAUGGAAGAGGAGAAGGAAUCCUUCUCUGAGAAGGAACUCCAUGCCAUAUUUAGUUUGGAUGCCACCUUAUUUUUGGGGUGA